Molecule: long non-coding RNA, 1020 nt
Filed under: Canis lupus familiaris (dog)
Lineage: Eukaryota; Metazoa; Chordata; Mammalia; Carnivora; Canidae
Description: lncRNA (ENSCAFG00845018680.1)
Source: RNAcentral
AUGCCCAAAAAAGGGAGAGCGCGCGGCAGCCCCCCCCGCCCCCCGUCGUCACACACGCUCCUCCGGGGCGGCCCGCUCGCAGCGCAGCGCAGCGCGGCUCCAAAAUUGGCAGCCCGGGCCUCGCAGCCGCCUUUUUUUAGCCUGCGUUCCCCCAAACCAGGGAAGAGGCGGGUGACUAAGAAUGCAAAUCGGAGCCGGGGCGUCCGCAGGCAGGCCCCGUGGGCGCGGGGCGUCUGGCUGGGGGAGACCCCGCGACCUCGGGUGCCCCGCGCUCGACCCGCUGGGGGGGCGGGGAGGGGCGCCGGGGGAGGACGCUCCCCGCCUCCCGGGCUGCGGCGGCGGCGGGACCCGGGGCGCCCCGUCUUCCGCCGGGGGGUAGGGAGGGGAGGCCGGGCUAGGGACGCCGCGCCCGCCGCACGCAGGUGGCUUUCCGCUCGGGAGGGGCCGGCCCGGCGCUUUUCUCUAACAAUAGGGCCCCGCGCGCCGGGAAUGCGCCCCCCCCCCCACGCCGCGGCCCCCGCCCGCCCCGCCUCCAUCCGGUGCCCGGCCCGCCCGGCGCUUCCCGGGUACCUGCUGCUCCCCUGCUGCUCCCCGCGGCGCCCAGCCCUCCUGGCGAGCCCGGGGGGCGCGGGGGAGGUCUCGGCAGGCGCCCCGCCUCGCCCCUCGCCCACCCCAGGCCGUGACCGGACCCCGGACCCCGGACCCCUCCGCGGGGCCGCCCAGCGCCGCGCACCCCGGGGUGGGGGUGGGGGGCGGGGUGCUGGGCGGGAGCGCAACGCGCAGGCGCGCCCGGUGCUGCGCAAAGUGCCCGGCGCCCCGGGGCGGGGGGCGGGGGUGGGGGGGGCGCCUGGGUGGGACGGAAGGCUCCCCUCCGACGGGCCCCCCCGGCCUUGCGGGGGGCCCGCGCGCCCUACAUGCACCGAGCCCAGGCAGCCCCGCCAGCCCGGCUCCUCUGUCGGAAGCCGAGCUUGCUGCCCAGAAAUGAUUAACGAGCGCAGCUCCCCGGCGCGCGGUGGGUGA